Long non-coding RNA from Mya arenaria, 4957 nucleotides. RefSeq lists it as uncharacterized. The record is from RefSeq and is a predicted model, not a curated record. Lineage: Eukaryota; Metazoa; Mollusca; Bivalvia; Myida; Myidae. The transcript is spliced from 8 exons.
GGUACUUUAAGCUGUAUAUAUGAGGAGUUAAUAGCAUAGCAUUUCUUUCCUUUGCAUCAGAGACAUUCCGCGGGGGAAUUGCGUUGGAUCAAGCAGCGCCAACUGCAGCAUAAUGAUCGGCAGAAAUAAAAGCCAGGAUCUGAGAAAAUAAUAUGAACGUGAUUAGCAUUGGCUGUGUCUGUCACCUAUCCAAUCUGUGAGUGCAGGCCACUGCCAAGAGCCUCCCAGUACCAGUAGAAGAUAUCCUAAUUUUAACCUUACUACUUCCACCACAUUGCCAAGAGGAAGGACAUGGUUUGUUUACUAUGGAAUGCUGCAUAUAAGGACAUGUAGGUUUUUAAGUUUCUUCAUGAUGGACACUGAGAUGAAGUGCCUGAUGAGGAAGCUCCUGGGAAAGGUUGUCCGCAGACAGGCCAUUGCAGCUGCAAGAGAUGAGACACAUAGACAUCAACAUAGGAGUUAGGCUUAAAACCAGACAGUACAUGAACAUGUACCUACAAUAGACAUCUGCCAAAUUCUUUAGUUGAGUUUCAGGGAAAUGAAACAAAAUAAAAUCUAAAAAAGGAUAUUUAGAAUACAACCUACAUUCACAGCCAAUAACAGGGGCGUAGCUGGGCCUAUUUAGAAGUAUAGGCCCACGUGGUAGGGGGGGGUUGGGGGCCCUCCCCCUAGAGUUUUUUAAACUAUAGAUCCGAUAUGGUGCGAUUUGGCAUAUAUCUGGAGCCUUUUUAGUCUUCAAAAUUGUUUCAGUUUUGUGUUACGUAUGAUUUACAAAAACAGAACUGAAAUACAAAGGUUGAUGCUAACUUGUCAAAAAAGCUUCAAAAUAGAAAAUAUGUUUGUAAUGCUGAAUGGUUAAACAAGCGUGUCCAGUUGGUAUAUCGAGUGUCUUUAAAUGAAAUCCAAGUUCAUGCAUUUGACUGAAGCAAAUGUGUUUAUGAUUUUAUUUAUGUCUAUCGCAACAUCGCGAUGAAUAUGGAGGACGCCAAGUGAGGAUAGCCUCUCGCCGGUCAGUGUAGAACAAAGGUAUGUCUUGAUGCGACUCAUGGAACUGAAGGAGCGCUCACAUGAGGCGGAUGUGGCAGGCAUUGUCAGCAGUAUCUGCAGUAUAGUGUAUAUUCAGGGAUAAGCUGCCUCCGAUGUCUUGUUGAGUGUCGCCAGCAGUGUCGAAGGCUUUGUAUUUUUCAGCUGUCAUCGCAGAUUCCACCUUCUUACUUCCUCGCUGAACUCUUGCCGAGUCUUGGGCAUGUCCGGUUCAUAUGCCUCGUAGAUCCUGUCCACAUUGGCCGGCUGGAGACCUUCAAAUUUGGUCGGAUUUAAACACUGAGCCUGGAAGUGCUCUUCAUUCUUUAGGAUACAAGUAUCCAUUUCUUGAAGCAGGUGGUCAAUGUAGAAGAGGGAAACCGUCCAAUACCGACCGGGGUCCUGUACAUCAUAGUUCACCCUGUUUCUCUCUCUUGCUGCUUGUCUUGGCACUGCUGGGUCAAUCUAGGUAAAACAAAAAUAAAACAUUCAAUCGAUAUUAAAAUACAGCCGAAUCCAUUAAACUGUUCUAGGUAGAAGAAUGCAAAAUACCUAAUAGAAGUUUACCUCGUAUAUCUGAAUAUGGAUCUCGAUGCAUUUCGAACUGUUACAAAAACGUUUUUUAUCAUUUAUUUGUGUUCCGUUGCAUUGUAAAUUAUUGCGUUAAGACGAUUUGCUAAAUGCACCAGUGGAUCAAUGCAUGUAUUUAUUGGCAACCACAUAAAAUCAACAUGCAAACACAGGUGGUGGUGUUAGUAGUUUAUACUCCGGGUCCCGGCGUGAGCACAUUGAAGGGUCCAAGAGUGACAGUUCAACCACCGCACACCUAUCCUGGGCAGGCUAUCAGGCGGUUAACCAGUACUAGGUGCCUUCACAUUUGCAGGGAACUGACAACUUCUGUACAUGCCAGGGGCAGUGGUACAGUGCGAAUGGUUGUAGAAAGGAUUUCAUAACAAAUCACAACAUAAGUGACCUGGUCCGCCUGGGAAUCUAACCCGGGUUGUCCGAUUCACAGUCCAACGCUCUACCGAUUGAGCUAACCGGGCGGAUUGCAAAUACAGGUUAUAUGUUUACACAUGUACAUGGAACUCGUCAGCUAAAGUCACAGCUUCCUGAUAAAGGGCAAUCCAUACAAGGGGGUCAACCCUCUCAGCUCGAUAUAUCUGCAUGACCAUCUGCGUUUGCACGAUUGCCUCCAACAGAUCCAUGUCCACCUAGAUGUAUAUGAGAUAUGUUUAUAUUAAGUUCAUGCAUAAAUUCACUGUUUCAUCGUGUAUGCAAAAUAAAAGAAAGCAGACAGAUACUUUUUAACUGAUGAUUUACUUUUAAUUCUAAAAUAUCAUACAUAAGUCUCUAGAUGCAACACGUUUUGUUCUGAGAAUAAUUUUCAAAUUUUUGAAGUUAUUAUCUAUGUUUUUGCUGUGUUUUUUUCCCAUUUUUGUUCAAUUGGUAACUGAAGUCGCAUGUAGUAAUAAGCACAAACUAUUACCGCUAAGUUCUGCUGUAAAACCUACUCGAUUGCUCAAAAUGUGCUCUGUUGUCACAAGAGUAACAAUAAACUGGAACUAUAGUAAAGCGUUGAGGUGAUCGGGGGAUUUGACGUCACCAUUUUCCUGAAGAUUUUCGAGCGCAUUGUCGACAACGCGGUAGGCAUUCUUGAAUGUACGAAGCGCAUCUGCCCUGCUCAUCCAACUUGUUUCACACAAGGUCUUAAACUUUUAUCAGCUUUCCAUCGCUUGUUUUGUAGCAACGUCUUCUGCCAGUUCAUCUGCAAAUGCUGUGAGGCGUUUUGCAGAGUAGUCAAACGCAAAUGCGAUAUCCUACACUGUAGACAUCGUGGUCCUGACGCAUGGAAGUUUGGAGCUUUGGACAAAUGACAGGUUUAGGCAAAGCGACUUACAAUGGAUGUAGUUAGCAAGUGGUAAUCAUUCACGGAUGAGCGCCUGAACACCAUAGUACUUGUCCGCCAUGUUUCUUGCGCCAUCAUAGCACUGGCCCCGAAUCUUCAAAAUAUCUAAGCCGGUGCCUUGUGCAAAAUAUACUCCCUUUAUUGACUUGCAAGUGACAAACCCUAAAGACUGUUCACGAACGACAUGCCUCUCCUCUACCUUGGAAAUAAAACGAACCCAAACAGAUUUUUUUCCUUUCUGUCUCCCACACAUACCUCGAUGGAAAUUUGAAAACACUGCCUAACUCCCACAUCUGUGAUAAAAGUUUGAAUUCAUCAUUCCACGAUCCAUCGGAAUCUCCAGGAUCGGGGUAAGGGGGAAACAUGUUGAAUGGCUUUCAAAAUAAACUCCCGCUUCGCAACUUAUACUUGUAAAGCCGAGUGAAACAGACGCUCAUUGAAAUUAUACGCUUGCCGGUUGCUGUAUAAAUAUUAUCGAAUCUAUUUGUUAAACGGUUCGACUGUCUUCAAAAAAAGGCACUAAAUUUUAAGAAAAAAUAUACUUAGUUAACCUUGAGAGUUAACUUGAAUAUAAAGUAGGCAACAGCUGUCACCCCCCUUACCUUAGUUUUUAUAGCAAAUUUGGACGUUUUGUAUUUUUCAUUUUUGGAAACGAAGUGUAGGUCCGGGCCUACCGUGCCUAUUGGAGCUACGCCGAUGAAUAAAAUUGCAGAUAGGCAUUCAUUAAGUACUAAGCUUAAUCAUUAAGAAUGUUAUUUUUCAUGGGUGUUUCAAGGUCCACCUACUGCCAGUCGUCCGAUACAAGAUCCCUGUGUCAGACUUUGCGUUUACGAUGUGUUAGCCAAUGAGGUUGUAUUCUCAAUAAGUUAGAAUAGAUGACCUUGGGUAACAUUUUAAUGAUUAAGACAUGCCUUUUUUUGUACACUCACUCCACCCAUUCUUAAACAUAAAAAUCUUACUUCAUGUCAUCUAUUGCCAAAAACAAAAAAGUUAAAAUAAGAUUGAGACAUAUGAUUUUCUAUAAACAUAUUUUCAUAAUCAGGCAUGUCGAGCUGUUCUAAUCAUCAUUGGCAUCAUACCUCCUGAAGAAGUUCCCAUUCAGUGAUUACAUCCUAAAGAACCUGUCCUUCCUGAGUCCUGAAACCAGAGAAAAGACAUCAGCUGAAGCAGUGGUCCAGCUUAGAAUGAGGGUAAUGCCCAACCUGAAUGUGAAGAAUCUGGAAGAAACUGUGGAGUCCCACUUCACCGUUUUGGAGGACCUGCCACCAUAUGGGGAAACAUCACCCCUUUGGAGGACAUCACAGUCACCACACAGGUCCUCCCUCUAGAGGAUCCCAUGGACAAACCAAGAGAGACCAGAUCCUAGAUACAACAAAGAACAUGGUACAACAAGGUCUUGGAUGCAUGGCUGUAGUUUGAUAUUGGCCUCAAAAGAAGAAACAGAAUGAUGUUUCAGUGAUCGAAAUUAACACAAGCCUGCAAGCCCUGUACUGCAAAGAGGCAUGGCCAAUGCUGUUGAUGUGGCAAAGGAGGUGUUGUCUUAGCGGCCAAAAGGCUUUCAAACCUUUAACAACAACUUGAGAAGAUCUUAAGAUGAACAAGUUAUUGCCUGUGGAUUGGUAAUCUUAGCAGAUACCUGCACCCUCCCUACCCCCUCCUACUUACUGUGUCAUCACAGACCUGUUCAGACCACUUGCUGCUGCUGUCGCGGCAAUUGUACCAUGUGACAUUAUUUGUUCAACCCCGACAGCUUCCAAGUGGGGACAGGACAACACAGAAGCAUGUAUUAUGGCCAACUCCGCUGCAGAAUAACCCUAGAUAAAACUACGCUGCAGAAUAACACUAGAUGAAACUGUGCUGCAGAAUAACCCUAGAUGAAAAUGCGCUGCAGAACAACGCUAAAUGAAACUGCGCUACAGAAUAAAGCUAGAUGAAACUGCGCUGGAAAGUUACGCUUGAUGAAACUGCGCUGCAGAAUAACCCUAGAUGAAACUGCGCUGCAGAAUAACCCUAGAUAAAACUGCG